Molecule: ribosomal RNA, 962 nt
Filed under: uncultured bacterium
Lineage: Bacteria
Description: bacterial SSU rRNA
Rfam family: Bacterial small subunit ribosomal RNA
Source: RNAcentral
UAAGACGUAGGGGGCCAGCGUUGUUCGGAAUUACUGGGUGUAAAGGGUCAGUAGGCGGUGUGGCAAGUUGGGAGUGAAAUCUAUGGGCUCAACCCAUAGGCUGCUUCCAAAACUGCUGUGCUUGAGUGUGGGAGAGGCGCGUGGAAUUGCAGGUGUAGCGGUGAAAUGCGUAGAUAUCUGCAGGAACACCCGUGGCGAAAGCGGCGCGCUGGACCACAACUGACGCUGAAUGACGAAAGCUAGGGGAGCAAACAGGAUUAGAUACCCUGGUAGUCCUAGCCCUAAACGAUCAGGACUUGGGGUGCCACCCGUUCGGGUGGCGUCCCGGAGCUAACGCGUUAAGUCCUGCACCUGGGGAGUACGGUCGCAAGACUGAAACUCAAAGGAAUUGACGGGGGCCCGCACAAGCGGUGGAACAUGUGGUUCAAUUCGACGCUACGCGAGGAACCUUACCUGGGCUCGAAGCGCACUUGAUCAGCUGUAGAAAUACGGCCUUCCCGCAAGGGACAAGUGUGGAGGCGCUGCAUGGCUGUCGUCAGCUCGUGCCGUGAGGUGUUGGGUUAAGUCCCGCAACGAGCGCAACCCCUGCACGUAGUUGCCACUCCGCAAGGAGGGAACUCUACGUGGACUGCUCCGGAUAACGGAGAGGAAGGUGGGGAUGACGUCAAGUCCGCAUGGCCUUUAUGUCCAGGGCUACACACGUGUUACAAUGCAGGGUACAAACCGUUGCCAACCCGCGAGGGGGAGCUAAUCGGAAAAAACUCUGCUCAGUUCGGAUUGCAGUCUGCAACUCGACUGCAUGAAGCCGGAAUCGCUAGUAAUGGCGUAUCAGAUCGACGCCGUGAAUACGUUCCCGGGCCUUGUACACACCGCCCGUCACAUCACGAAAGUGAGUUGUACUAGAAGUCGCCAAGCUAACCGCAAGGAGGCAGGCGCCCAAGGUAUGACCCAUGAUUGGGGUG